AACCAUUCUCACCUGCGGCUAGACCUGCGGAGGGAUCAUUAUCGAGUGUAACUGACCCCCUAAAAAAGGGUAGUACCUCCCGUCCUUUGCAGGCCCCCUUUUUAUGGGGGGCUUUUUUUAAGACUUUCUGCUUCGGCGGGGUUACUCCCGCCGGAACACCCUCAAAAAACUCUCAAAAAAACCGUUCAGUCCGAGAACUUUUUAAAAAUAUAAAAAAAAACUUUUAACAAUGGAUCUCAG
Molecule: unclassified non-coding RNA, 240 nt
Filed under: soil metagenome
Description: partial contains 5.8S ribosomal RNA, internal transcribed spacer 2, and large subunit ribosomal RNA
Source: RNAcentral